Molecule: non-coding RNA, 4954 nt
Organism: Podarcis lilfordi (Lilford's wall lizard)
Lineage: Eukaryota; Metazoa; Chordata; Lepidosauria; Squamata; Lacertidae
Source: the annotation of a GenBank genome assembly
GACUGCAAGAAGAUCAAACCUAUCCAUUCUGAAGGAAAUCAGCCCUGAGUGCUCACUGGAAGGACAGAUCGUGAAGCUGAAGCUCCAGUACUUUGGCCACCUCAUGAGAAGAGAAGACUCCCUGGAAAAGACCCUGAUGUUGGGAAAGAUGGAGGGCACAAGGAGAAGGGGACGACAGAGGACGAGAUGGUUGGACAGUGUUCUUGAAGCUACCAGCAUGAGUUUGACCAAACUGCGGGAGGCAGUGGAAGACAGGAGUGCCUGGCGUGCUCUGGUCCAUGGGGCCACGAAGAGUCAGACAUGACUAAACAACUAAACAACAACAACAAAAGUUAUAAAAUCUCUGUACCAGCUCUAUUAAUCCACAUAGAUGGGCAGGAAUAAAUGAGAGCAUAAGAACAUAAGAAGAACUUGCUGGACCAUUCCAAAGGUACAUCUAGUUCAGCAUCCUGUAGAAAGCUUGAGGAAGGUGUUGACCCCAUGUGCCGCAGCCCUGAAAAAGGCAAAUUCGAUGCUAAGGAUCAUCAGCAAAGGAAUUGAAAAUAAAACUGCCAAUAUCAUGAUGGCAUUAUAAAAACCGAUGGUGUGACCACAUGUGGAGUAGUGUGUAGAGUUCUGGUCUCCUCACCUCAAACAUGAUAUUGUAGAGUUGGAAAAGGUUCAGAAAAAGGCCACCAAAAUGAUAAAGCGGUGUCAAGCUGCUGCCAGCAACUCCCAUGGCUGGUUGCCAAGGAAUGUACAAAGACAAGGAAUGUUCUUAUCAUCCGCUUUUUAUUCAGUAUUUAUAGAGAGAGGCUAUAGAUCCCAGCCUCUUGGAUAACGGCAUUGUCCCGAAUGAAUCUCCACCUCCCUGUCUCUCCCACUUCCUCAUUCGUCAUCCUCAUCACCUCCUCUAUGGGUGCUGAGAAGUGCCCUCUGUCUUUGAGCUCUUUGCUCUCCUACUUUCAAGGCUCACCGGGUUGUGAGAGAUGGAGGGUCUGGACACUGUGUCUGUCAGCUGUCACCUGUCAGCUGGUUGGUUUGGAUCGGAAGACUGGGGAAUGCAAUCGCAGGGAGAUCAGCUCCCAACAGAAGAGGAGGGAAAAUAUUCACUUGCCCCCCCCCCAAGCCCAGCGUUUCCAGAAGCAGAGAGAAGGCAAACACAGAAGCUGCACAGUUGAGAGAGGAGCCGCCCAGCUUUGAUACAGUAGCUAAGCAACCAGAAGGGAGGGAACAGUCGGGCGACACAUCAAUCAAGAGUGGGGGAAUCCCUUCCCUCCCCCCAAACUCAGAGGUCCAAGCGUGUCAGAGAGUGAAGGAUACACGGGGAGUAGGGACUUCCCAUAGGUGUGCUUCUUGCUGCAGAAAUAAAGAGGAGUAAGAUAUCCUUGCAUAAUGCUGAAAUAAAAGGACUAUAAAUCUACCAAAUAAAAAUAAAAAUAAUUUAUUUGUACCCUGCCCAUCUGGCUGCGGUUCCCCAGCCACUCUGGGCAGCUUCCAACAAAGAUUAAAAAUACAUCAAAAUGUCACACACUAAAAACUUCCCUGAACAGGGCUGCCUUCAGAUGUCUUCUAAAUGUCAGGUAGUUGUUUAUCUCUUUGACAUCUGAUGGGAGGGCGUUCCACAGGGCAGGUGCCACUACCGAGAAGGCCCUCUGCCUGGUUCCCUGUAGCUUUGUUUCUCACAGUGAGGGAACCGCCAGAAGGCCCUCGGCACUGGACCUCAGUGUCCGAGCAGAAUGAUGGGGGUGGAGAGGAGGGUUGUAAAGCAAAUGUUUAUCACUACUUAGACCUGCUUAAUAAUGUGAGCCAGACAAAGAUAUCCCACUCUUCAUUGCUUUUUAAACCCUUUUCUUUUUGUUAAGACCUGUGUCGCUCUUUGUGAUGCAGAUCUCUCGGUGCAGCUUUCUGAAAGUUGCACUUCCUGAUGUGCCUUGGGAGCGAUGCUGCACAACACCACAUCAUCCUCAAGUUGCUCUGGUCCACAAAUAUUCCAUAAGAUUUAUUUAUUUUUGGCAGCAUACCAAAUGAUACCACAUUGACCGAGAGCCAUAAACAUUUUACAUACUUUGCUGAGCGAUUUGCAGGAUAAUUUUAAAGCUUAACAUAACAUUUUCCUGUGAUUUUUAUUGGCGCUUAUGAGCAAUCUCAAGACUCAUAAAAAGAAGGGAGCUACUAUCAUUGAUCUCAGAUGUAUGAAUGAAGACUCUGCACUUGGGGUUCUUGUGGGGGGGGGGAAUUAUACCAUUGCAAUCGGUUUGAAUAUCUUGGGCUGAGUGAAGAAUACACCCAAUUUCAAUCAGAAUGCACAAAUGAUUAUAGAAGCACUAGUUCUCUGUGUCCUAAGUGAUAGUUAUGAAACUACUUCAUUUUGGGUAAGUCUAUCUAAUAUAUCUAAAGGUCCGUAUAGUUAAAGCUAUAGUUUUCCCAGUAGUGAUGUAUGGAAGUGAGAGCUGGACCAUAAAGAAGGCUGAUCGCUGGAGAAUUGAUGCUUUUGAAUUAUGGUGCUGGAGGAGACUCUUGAGAGUCCCAUGUACUGCAAGAAGAUCAAACCUAUCCAUUCUGAAGGAAAUCAGCCAUGAGUGCUCACUGGAAGGACAGAUUCUGAAGCUGGGGCUCCAAUACUUUGGCCACCUCAUGAGAAAAGAAGACUCCCUGAAAAAGACCCUGAUGUUGGGAAAGAUGGAGGGCACAAGGAGAAGGGGACAACAGAGGACAAGAUGGUUGGAUAGUGUUCUCGAAGCUACCAGCAUGAGUUUGACCAAACUGCGGGAGGCAGUGGAAGACAGGAGUGCCUGGCGUGCUCUGGUCCAUGGGGUCACGAAGAGUCGGACACGACUAAACGACUAAACAACAACAACAACAACAACAACCUAAUAUAGUUCAGUUUACUCUUUAAUAUAGUUCGGUUUACUCUUUAGUGAUUUAAGUAGAGAUGUUGAUGUCUGAACCUAGCACUUUGAGCAUGCAAGGAAACAGAUUUGAUCCCUAUUAUUUAAAAGAGGGUAUUCUAGCUAAUCAUAUAUUUGUAAAAAGUAAUUUGGCAGUGGCCAACAUUUGACAAACCAUUUGUCUAUAUUCCCCAACCCUUCUAUGUAAAUAAAGAGGGGGGAAACACUGGGUGAAGCAAGAUUUCAUACCCUAAGAUUUCUGUUUAUUUGACAUUUCUUUCUUUUGCAAUACUGCUUUGUUUCAUCACAUGUGAAAGAAAUCUCCUUUGUUGUUUCUGAUACUUCCAACAUGUUGUUGGAAGCAUCUUAGUUUUGCAAUAAGAUGGGAUAAUUUUGGUGAACACAGUAAACGUUUAUGGCUGAUACCAGGAAAAAAUUGUUGGUUUAUAAUGUUUUGAAUGCAAGUAUAAUGCUUAAAAUGGGACGCGGGUGGCGCUGUGGGUUAAACCACAGAGCCUAGUGCUUGCUGAUCAGAAGGUUGGCAGUUCGAAUCCGCGCAACGGGGUGAGCUCCUGUUGCUCGGUCCCUGCUCCUGCCAACCUAGCAGUUUGAAAGCACGUCAAAGUCAAGUAGAUAAAUAGGUACAGCUCUGGAGGGAAGGUAAACGGUGUUUCCGUGUACUGCUCUGGUUCGCAAGAAGCAGCUUAGACAUGCUGGCCACAUGACCCGGAAGCUGUACGCCAGCUCCCUCGGCCAAUAAAGCAAGAUGAGCGCCGCAACCCCAGAGUAGUCUGCGACUGGACCUAAUGGUCAGGGGUCCCUUUACCUUUACCUUUAUAAUGUUUAAUAGUAUGAGUAAGUAAUGUCUUUGAAUUUAUUUAUUUAUUUAUUUAACAAAAUUUAUAUAUUUCUUGAUUGUUAACCUCCCCCCAACUCUAAGCAGUUAAAAAUGUAUGGAACAAUAGAGGCUGUUUAAUACCCAAUACCUCUCCAUAUAUAUUGUUCUUGUUGGUACCUGCCUGUCUCGAGAAACAAUGGAGUGUGCCUCCAGGGGUGAAGUCAACCACUGGAGAAUCGCAGCACCUGCUGUGGCUGCAGAGACAGGUAAUUUGUAACUGCUGUCUCCCAUGUUGUUUUUGCUGCAUUAGCAGCACUGAAGUGACCACUCCAGGGCGUAAGCCUGGGCAGUGUGUAUGUAGGUCCUGGAUUGCCCAGCCAACAAGACUCUCUUCUCAGCCUUGCUGAUGUUGUCCAAAGGAAAGCAGAGCAAUACGUUAGACAUCAGCUUGUCUGCAGCAGUUGCUGGAAGGUAACAUAUAAGGCCCCAUUCAACCAUCUUGCACACACACACACACACACACAAACAAACAUAUAUUUAUAUAUAAUAUUUAUGAUUAUAUCACCUCAUCUGUCUCCUGAGAAAUCUCUACUUGGGACAAGAAGCUACAGUUAGAACUGGAUACGGAACAACUGAUUGGUUCAAAAUUGGGAAAGGAGUACGACAAGGCUGUAUAUUGUCUCCCUGCUUAUUUAACUUAUAUGCAGAAUUCAUCAUUCGAAAGGCUGGGCUGGAUGAAUCCCAAGCCAGAAUUAAGAUUGCCGGAAGAAAUAUCAACAACCUCAGAUAUGCAGAUGACACAACCUUGAUGGCAGAAAGUGAGGAGGAAUUAAAGAACCUUUUAUUGAGGGUGAAAGAGGAGUGUGGAAAAUAUGGUCUGAAGCUCAACAUCAAAAAAAUGAAGAUCACGGCCACUGGGCCCAUCACCUCCUGGCAAAUAGAAGGGGAAGAAAUGGAGGCAGUGAGAGAUUUUACUUUCUUGGGCUCCAUGAUCACUGCAGAUGGUGACAGCAGCCACGAAAUUAAAAGAUGCCUGCUUCUUGGGAGAAAAGCAAUGACAAACCUAGACAGCAUCCUAAAAAGCAGAGACAUCACCUUGCCAACAUGGUUGGACAGUGUUCUCGAAGCUACCAACUUGAGUUUGACCCAACUGUGGGAGGCAGUGGAAGACAGGAGUGCCUGGCGUGCUCAGGUCCAUGGGGUCACGAAGAGUCGGACACGACUAAAUGACUAAACAACAACAAAC